AAAGAUUUGGACACAACUGAGCGACUGAACUGAACUGAACUGAACUCUCAGCCUAUCCCUUCAGAACUUGAUCCAGCUUAGUAACUCAAGAAUUGAAAGAAAUUUUUAAGGCAAAGAUCAACUCAAAGAAGUAAAGAUCACAGAGAAGCAUGUACACUAAAGAACCACAAAAUGAACACUUGGAGGAUGAAAAUGUCCAGUCAUCUACAAUUACUGAGAUCCUCAGAGCUGAUGAACAUGAAGAAACUAAGGAAACCAUCUUGCCAGAAACAGAGGAAACAAAAUCACAGAUAGAAGAGAAGGUUUUUUGUCCUUCACUGAAUAGAGCUAUUACAAGUGGUAUGUGAAAUGAGAAAUGUGGAUUUGAUAAAUAUUAGAAUAUAAGCCAAUGAAGUGAAGUGAAAGUCAGUCUUGUCCAACUCUUGGCGACCCCAUGGACCGUAGCCUGCCAGGCUCCUCUGUCCAUGGGGAUUCUCCAGGUAAGAAUACUGGAGUGGGUUGCCAUUUCCUUCUCCAAUAAGCCAACAAAGCCACUGCUUAAUCUAUAUACUCCAAAUCAAAUGAGCAGCUCUAUUUAUAAGCAAUAUGUGGACAAAGAGGAAAUAGUUCCUUGAAUGUGUCAAAAAUAAUAACUGCUUAACAGAUUUAUAUUUUAGUGUUUGUCAUGACUGUUUAUGUCAAAUUUUGGAAAUUAGAAACAAUUAAUAGAUUUUUAUUUAAAACCUACUUUUGACAUUUAGUUUUAAGGUAACUAGAAGGAACAUUAUACUUCUGGCAAUAUUAAUGUUCUUAUUAAACUUUAGCCCCAAAUUUUCAAACAGCUGUUGCCUUUAAAAGUUGUAUAAAACUUAGCUUCCCUACUAAAAUUUUAGAGCAUUUCAGUGUCACCAAAUAUUUAUAAAAGGUUAACAUCCCAGAUACUUCUAGUUUCUGGUCUAACAUCAUCACUCUAUCCUAACAACAAAGAGCUGAACAAAUUGAAAAUUCAACGAACUCUUCUUAGUUCCAUCCAAGAACUGAGGUCACAGGGCAAAUAACUGCCCCCAAAAUUAGGGAUAGUCAGAUUGAUACAGAUAGGAGGAGCGAAAAUGUGUUUAGAAUCAAACCCCAUAGCCACCAAAAACACUCAGAGGGCUCAGACAA
Odocoileus virginianus texanus is the source of this 1143-nucleotide non-coding RNA. The record is from RefSeq and is a predicted model, not a curated record. Lineage: Eukaryota; Metazoa; Chordata; Mammalia; Artiodactyla; Cervidae.